Molecule: long non-coding RNA, 515 nt
Organism: Triticum dicoccoides
Lineage: Eukaryota; Viridiplantae; Streptophyta; Magnoliopsida; Poales; Poaceae
Exons: 4
Source: RefSeq, a predicted model, not a curated record
GCACCUGUAACAAUUGUAGACAAAAGAAGGCAUGGACACAAUGUUGCCGAGGCAACAAGUAGUAUUAUAGCGGGAUGAAUGGGCGCGAGUGGAAGAACGGCUUAACUUGUUUUACAUUCUUGUCCACAGUGGGUAUAUGAGCAGCUAACUAGGAUGCAUAGUAAGAAAAUACUCAUCGAGGCUCUUUUGUAGUUGGUUACGGUUUAUCCACUGCUAGUCAAUCUGCUGGAAAUGUAUAUUGCAUAUGGACAUGUGCUGCUUCACAAGGUAAUGAAUCUGAUUGGAGAUGUUAAGAGGAAAAGUGUCUGUUGUGAUGGAUGAUAUGAUUGAUACAGCAGGAACUAUUGCCAAAGGAGAUGAGAUGCUGCAUCAAGGAGCAAGAGAAGUCUAUGCAUGCUGUACACAUGCUGUUUAGCCCACCCGCCAUCGAGAGAUUAUCAAGUGGUUUGUUUCAAGAAGUAAUCAUCACAAACACUAUCCCUUCGAAGAAGCAUUGAAGACUUUGCCGAGCGAGG